This is a non-coding RNA of Coprinopsis cinerea okayama7#130, 93 nucleotides long. The record is from the annotation of a RefSeq genome assembly. NCBI's taxonomy places the organism in Eukaryota, Fungi, Basidiomycota, Agaricomycetes, Agaricales, Psathyrellaceae.
GUCCGUAUCGAUUAGGGGUUAAAUCACUUCGUUGUGGAGAGCCUUUGGGCGAUCAAUUCCGAAGAGCCGCUGGUUCGAUUCCAGCUACGGACA